RNAcentral lists this ribosomal RNA (486 nucleotides) under Pediococcus sp. MUU10. RNAcentral's name for it is "bacterial SSU rRNA". It matches the Rfam family "Bacterial small subunit ribosomal RNA", at positions 202 to 683 of the family's 1533-position model. Lineage: Bacteria; Bacillati; Bacillota; Bacilli; Lactobacillales; Lactobacillaceae. The record is from RNAcentral.
GCUUCGGCUAUCACUUCUGGAUGGACCCGCGGCGUAUUAGCUAGUUGGUGAGAUAAAGGCUCACCAAGGCAGUGAUACGUAGCCGACCUGAGAGGGUAAUCGGCCACAUUGGGACUGAGACACGGCCCAGACUCCUACGGGAGGCAGCAGUAGGGAAUCUUCCACAAUGGACGAAAGUCUGAUGGAGCAACGCCGCGUGAGUGAUGAAGGCUUUAGGGUCGUAAAACUCUGUUGUUGGAGAAGAACGUGUGUGAGAGUAACUGCUCAUGCAGUGACGGUAUCCAACCAGAAAGCCACGGCUAACUACGUGCCAGCAGCCGCGGUAAUACGUAGGUGGCAAGCGUUAUCCGGAUUUAUUGGGCGUAAAGCGAGCGCAGGCGGUCUUUUAAGUCUAAUGUGAAAGCCUUCGGCUUAACCGAAGAAGUGCAUUGGAAACUGGAAGACUUGAGUGCAGAAGAGGACAGUGGAACUCCAUGUGUAGCGGUG